RNAcentral lists this ribosomal RNA (368 nucleotides) under uncultured eukaryote. Its description in RNAcentral is "partial 18S ribosomal RNA". It matches the Rfam family "Eukaryotic small subunit ribosomal RNA", at positions 592 to 976 of the family's 1831-position model. The record is from RNAcentral.
CAGUAGCGUAUAUUAAAGUUGUUGCAGUUAAAAUGCUCGUAGUUGAAGUUCGGAUGCAGCAGAGCUUGGAAACGCUGUUAUGGUGCUUCCGUUGCUUUUGCUUGUCCACAGUGCGUUGCAAGUACGUAUGUGCUUGUGCGUGCAUUUUACUUUGAGAAACAUAGGGUGUUCCACGCAUGUUACGGCAUGAAUAUUCCAGCAUGGGAUAAUCUGGUACGACUUCCAAUCUGCCAUUUUGGUUCGUAGGUUGGAAGUAAUGAUUAAUAGGGACUGUCGGGGGCAGUGGUAUUUGACUGUCAGAGGUGAAAUUCUUAGAUUCGUUGAGGACCAACCACUGCGAAAGCAUUUGUCAAGGAUGUCUCCAUUAA